RNAcentral lists this long non-coding RNA (675 nucleotides) under Cricetulus griseus (Chinese hamster). RNAcentral's name for it is "lncRNA (ENSCGRG00015032961.1)". The record is from RNAcentral. Lineage: Eukaryota; Metazoa; Chordata; Mammalia; Rodentia; Cricetidae.
UUCCUAGUGACCUCCCGGAGCACUGAGUAAGUCUUUGCAAUGUCUGUCACCACCUCUGAGUUUUGCCAAUUUGCCACAAGUCAGGGUCAUCUGGGGAGAAGGAACUUCAUUUGAGAAAAUUCCUCCAUCGGACUGGCCUGUAGGCAAGUGUGGAGCAUUUUCUUGAUUAAUAGAUGAUGUGGGAUCCACAGUGGUCCAGGCCUUCCCACCACGGGCAGAGGGUCCCCGGGUGGCAUAAGAAAGCAAGAUGAACAAGACAUGACAAGCAAGCUGCUGACAUCCACCUCCCCUGGCUUGCUGGAGAGAAAGAAUGUUGACUUCGCUGAGAAAACCGGGUGGGAGGAGGUACAAGGUGGGAAGAACCGGUGAAAACCGCUCCACCCUUCCUGAACAGUGGUGUUCGUGAGCAGGAUGGUCACUAGCUAAGCUUGGGGCUAGCUCCCAGUGAGCCCAGUUAUAUUUCCAGUCCCAUUGAGGAUCGGGAGACGCAAAGUCCGCAUCCACAAUGCGAGGAGACCUUCCUGGAUAGUGGCAGGUCUUGCCCUGAUAGCUCUUGAUAGCGCUCGCACAAGAUGCGCACCGGCACACCCCAGGCUUGGAUUCAGCAGCCUGCAAGGAGGCGUGGGUAUUGUACCCCACCUCCACCGCAUCCCGCGCCCCUUGCCUCUCGCUCCU